UACGUAGGGGGCAAGCGUUGUCCGGAUUCAUUGGGCGUAAAGAGCUCGUAGGCGGCUUGGCAAGUCGGGUGUGAAACCUCCAGGCUCAACCUGGAGACGCCACCCGAUACUGCCAUGGCUAGAGUCCGGUAGGGGACCACGGAAUUCCUGGUGUAGCGGUGAAAUGCGCAGAUAUCAGGAGGAACACCGGUGGCGAAGGCGGUGGUCUGGGCCGGAACUGACGCUGAGGAGCGAAGGCGUGGGGAGCGAACAGG
This 254-nucleotide ribosomal RNA is filed under the name uncultured bacterium. RNAcentral describes it as "partial 16S ribosomal RNA". It matches the Rfam family "Bacterial small subunit ribosomal RNA", at positions 524 to 776 of the family's 1533-position model. The record is from RNAcentral.